GAUGAACGCUGGCGGCGUGCCUAAUACACGCAAGUCGAGCGAACGGACGAGAAGCUUGCUUCUCUGAUGUUAGCGGCGGACGGGUGAGUAACACGUGGAUAACCUACCUAUAAGACUGGGAUAACUUCGGGAAACCGGAGCUAAUACCGGAUAAUAUUUUGAACCGCAUGGUUCAAAAGUGAAAGACGGUCUUGCUGUCACUUAUAGAUGGAUCCGCGCUGCAUUAGCUAGUUGGUAAGGUAACGGCUUACCAAGGCAACGAUGCAUAGCCGACCUGAGAGGGGGAACGGGCACCCCGGGACCGGGACCCCGGCCAGACUCCCACGGGAGGGAGCAGGAGGGAAUCUUCCCAAAUGGGGGGAAGCCUGAAGGAGCAACCGCGCGUGGGUGAAGGAAGUCUUCGGGUCGUAAAACCCUUUUAUUUGGGAAAAACAAAUGUGUAAGGAAACAUGCACCUCUUGACGGUACCUAAAUAAAAAGCCCCGGCUAACUACGGG
RNAcentral lists this ribosomal RNA (497 nucleotides) under uncultured bacterium. RNAcentral describes it as "partial 16S ribosomal RNA". It matches the Rfam family "Bacterial small subunit ribosomal RNA", at positions 28 to 507 of the family's 1533-position model. The record is from RNAcentral.